UCAAGGACAAGGGAGGAUAACAUAUGGAUGAGAAGCUACAAACCAAAGGAAAUAGAGGAGCAAUGGGGAACAAGUGUAAACACCGUAUACUCACACCCAAAACCUCUAAUUCCAUCCUCUUUUUGACUCCUUUAUUCACAAAACAUUUUUUUUUCUCUCUUUUUUUUUAAUUUUUCUCAUUUUUCUGUAUAUUUUUUUUCCUUUUUUUUUUCUUUCCAUCUUAUCUCUUUUCUUUUCUCUCUUUUCAGAACACAACUCUAAGAGACAAGAUACACGACAAGAUACACGACAAG
RNAcentral lists this long non-coding RNA (293 nucleotides) under Vigna radiata. RNAcentral describes it as "long non-coding RNA (VRAD_LNC014047)". Lineage: Eukaryota; Viridiplantae; Streptophyta; Magnoliopsida; Fabales; Fabaceae. The record is from RNAcentral.